Molecule: small nuclear RNA, 107 nt
Organism: Lemur catta (Ring-tailed lemur)
Lineage: Eukaryota; Metazoa; Chordata; Mammalia; Primates; Lemuridae
Source: RefSeq, a predicted model, not a curated record
GUGCUCGCUUUUGCAGCAUGUAUACUAAAAUUGGAACGAUACAGAGAAGAUUAGCAUGGCCCCUGUGCAAGGAUGACAUGCAAAUUCAUGAAGGAUUCCAUAUUUAU